RNAcentral lists this transfer-messenger RNA (348 nucleotides) under Candidatus Cloacimonetes bacterium HGW-Cloacimonetes-1. It matches the Rfam family "transfer-messenger RNA". From Rfam's summary of the family: Bacterial tmRNA, also known as 10Sa RNA or SsrA, is named for its dual tRNA and mRNA-like properties. Its role is to liberate the mRNA from a stalled ribosome. To accomplish this part of the tmRNA is used as a reading frame that ends in a translation stop signal. The record is from RNAcentral. RNAcentral also lists the same sequence under 1 other name. Lineage: Bacteria; Pseudomonadati; Candidatus Cloacimonadota.
GGGGGUGAUCUGGUUUCGACAGGGAAUCAGAGGGUUAGUGAGGCGUGUCGGAGAUGCUAUCAAACUCCGUUACCAAGUAGCACACAAUUUAAUUGCAAACAAUAACUACUCCUUAGCAGCUUAAGCCGCUAACGUGCAUACGAUUCGUACCUUCGGGAUCGAUAUGGGCGUCGUAACAGUAAGGUCGCUGCAGAUGUGACGCUUAUAGCAUCUGCCUAAGACUAUAAGCUGGAUUCUUGCGGGUCUGAUUGCCUUCCUUGCAAGGAUCGAGAUCAAAGACAACUACACACGUAGAUUCAUUAAUUGUCGUUUCUUUGGACGCGGGUUCGAUCCCCGCCACCUCCACCA